Molecule: long non-coding RNA, 3808 nt
Organism: Mastomys coucha (southern multimammate mouse)
Lineage: Eukaryota; Metazoa; Chordata; Mammalia; Rodentia; Muridae
Exons: 7
Source: RefSeq, a predicted model, not a curated record
UUACAAAUGGCCCCUCCCGCCCCGCUCGCCCGCUCGCUCGAGCUCGGCGCGGACCCGCCCGGGAGCGCUCCUCGCAGCAGCUGCCCGGGUCCCACCGCCCUACCGGGCGCAGGCGAUCAGACUACCUCGGAGGGCGCGCUCAGACACCCAGACGUCCGGCCACCUCAGUGGGGACACUCCGCACCCUGUGAUCCGACCACCCGCGGAGGGGCCCUAGCCCUCCGGGUGGGCGUGCUGGGCUUCUCUGCGGUGGAAGUCUGGACCACAGAUUGUGACUUCUCUUCUUAGCAGUAGGUGUUGACUGGUCCGACUGCUGCCCUUCUGCUUGAGAGGAGUUCAAACUGAAGGAGAAAAACCAUAUGUCCUUGGUCUGCCAUCUUAAACCAGAAGUCUGAAAUAUGGGUCUGAAUGCUGCUCGCAAGGAUCUCUUAGACUGAGGAGGACAGACAGCAGAGCCUUGCUACCAUAAACAUUUCCAGGAGAAACCAAUGUAUGAAGAGACUGGGGGCAUCUGGAAAGGUCAGUGUCAGAGACAAACAAUCAGAGAGAUCCCCAGCCCUGCAGCAGGAACUCUAACGCUCUCUGCCUGUGCUUGAAAGGCCUAGGACAGCACUGAAUCAAACAGGAGCUCUGAGGGUCUCUGACUGAACUUGGAACUCACGGUCUGAGCUAGAGUUGCUAUUGAGAAAGUCCCAGGAAUUCUUUGGUCUUCCACUCCUCAAAAUUUGCAGUACAGUGCCUCCUCAGGCCCACCAAAGUCUUCCAGGGUAAUGCAGAAGACCACGCCACAGUAAGAUGCAAGGUAGACACAUCUCCUCAUUGCUGUAUUCUGUAAUUAUCAGACAAGAGAGUGGGGUUCCUGUCUGAAGAUCCUCGAAGAUGUGCCUGUGUGAAGCUUUACCAUGUACUCUGUGUAGGUGUGGUCAGUUUUCACAUCCGUGCAGAUGUGAGCUAACUUUCCCCUGAUGUUUGCUGAGUGCAGGCCAACAGCAUUCUGCAUGGCUAACAUGUCUUAGAAACCAAAUCCCUGGGGCUGUCAUAUGCAGAGGGUCUGUGGUGUGGCCAUUUUAUAAAUGAGCCGAGUGAAGGCCAGAGAAAGAAACAGCAUGCUCCAAGUCAGAGCAGAAGGCAGCAUCCCCAAGAUCUGUUUUAAUGUUUGCUUUUUUACAACAGAGGAUCUCAUGAAGCCCAAGCUGGCUUCAGACUCAACUGUAUAGCUGAGGAUAGACUUGAACUUGAUUCUCUAGUUUUUCUACCACUGGAUACCAGGAUUAUAAGUAUGAACUAUCAUGCCCGGUACUUUAAGUACCAUCAUGAGGUACUAUGGACAGAACCCAGGUCUUCCUGAAUACUAGGAACGCACUCUACCAACUGAGCUAUAUCCCUAGACCCUCCUCUGGGGAUAAGCCCAGGUUCAAAUCCAAGGCCUUAACAACACCAGGACAUGGACUUACAGCACAGCAUGCUACAGGACCUGGGCAUGCUCUAUCCUGUCUAGUAAUGGCAAAAGCCAUCUUUUUAACAGCCCACACUAUGAUUCUUCCAUCAGACCAGAAAGGCCCUAGAUAGCCCAGCUUCCUAUUUUAAGCCAUCCUUGAUACAUUUAACUGAUGGCUGUGUGGGACUGCUAGGAAAAGUUUGGGAAUCACCAAGAGCUUUGACUUUCCUGCCCACAAAAACAAUUGGCCUUGGCAGAUGUCCAACACAAUGACCUUAGGUCCAUUUAACGAAAACCCUAUUAAUUCAAAAAGAAAGAAAGAAAAUAAAACAAAAUAGGACAGGCAGUAUAAAGAUCUUGAAAAUAAUCUUAUGUGCCCUUCCUCCACUGUUGCCUUGACCAGACAGGGCCACGAAGCUAAAAUGACAGGAUUAGGACAAUUGCUUUGUUAACACACAGGCGCAGCAUGACACGAACUCUAGAAAAGGCAUUUGGCAGGAUUAACCUGCUGAGGAUAAAGAUGUAGCAGACGGGACCUGAAUUAAUGGACUGGUAUGGCCAAAGUGGAGAAACCUAUUUGCAUGUAAUAUUAACUAUACUAAUAAACUCCAGGCUGGGCUCCAACAGCCCAGGAGCCUCUUUGAACCAGGACUUGAUUCCUGUACAUCGGAUCUCUGGCAUCUGCCAAGAUGUGUGAGUGCAAGUUGGCUGCCUACAGAUUACCACUCUGUCCUUGGUGCCUACACUAGCACAGGCCCUUUACUGACUCCAAAUUCAAGCAGAUCCCACUUACAAUCUUAUUUAUUACCUAUGGAAAAGCAAUGAAAAAACGCAGGUUCAACACAUGUAGAAAAUAUCCGCCUGGGACUGGAGAGAUGGCUCAGUAAUCAAGAGCCCUGGCUGUUCCUCCAGAGGACCCGAGUUCAGUUUGUGGCAUCCAAAUGGCAGCCAACAGUUAUCUAACUCCAGUUCUGGGGGAUCUGAAGCCCUCUUCUGACAUCUGCAGGCACAGUGCAUACAUGGCGCAUACACACACAUGCAAAACACAUAAAGUAAAAUUUAAGAAGAAAAUGCCUACCUGACCCAGGCUGUUGGCCUGACCUGUGUAUUUCUUGAAAGUCUGUAUGGGACUAAGGUGAGCCAGCAAGACUCCUGGGAUGUGACAUUUCAGGAGGUACCACUGUCUGGCUCAUUCUCCAAACAAGGUGAAUGCCUAAAGAUUCGUGCAGUGCCCCUCAGACUGCCCUACUGCAGUUUACCAUUGAAACAGUGUAAUCUAUACCCAUUCAAAAUCAAUACACUUGCAAUAGACAGCUGGAUGCUGGGCCGUGUGGUGGAGGAGAAGAAUGUCGGCGGGUGGGGACCUCUGAGGGGUCCUGUAAAAUACAUUUCAGAUCAUUCCAACUAAAGAGCAAGAGAUCCUGGUAUUUAUCUACCAGCUUUUCUACUUUUUUGUUUGUUUGGUUGGUUGGUUUUUGUUUUUCAAUACAGGGUUUCUCUGUGUAGUCCUGGCUGUCCUGGAACUCACUCUGUAGACGAGGCUGGCCUCAAACUCAGAAAUCCGCCUGCCUCUGCCUAUUAAAGGCACAUGACACUGCUGCCCAGCUCUUUACUGUACCUGGCUGGUAGCUGUCCUUGGAGAGUAAUUCCCCACCAUACAGACUAGACAUACUCCCCACAAAGAAGCCAGGAAACCUAGAGCAACAGCCUGUGUGUACAAGAAUGCCUAGGCCAUGUGGAGUGUAAAAAGGUGUGAGUCAGGCUGUGAGUGACAGCCACUGAAGUUUCCAGGUUCUUGUAUACUUCAACAAAGAAUUGUUCUAGGAAUGCUAAUAAAGAUUGAAAUAAAAGAAAGAGAGAGAGCCCUUGAAAGGUUAGCCACAGAGCUGGAACAGCUCUGAGAUUCAAAAGCCCCAGGCUCCAGGCUUCAUAGGUCAUUUAUGUAACAUCUGCCUUCUCUUGCAUUUGGAGGUGGGCUUUCGGUCUGUUUUGUUGUAGUUAGUUUUGGUGAAAGGGAUUUUCCCUGCCAGCUGCCUUAGGGGGGUGAGGGAGGCAGGGUUGACUAGGGAGUCUUCCUAAACUGCUCUCUACCUCUUUCAUUGACACAGGGCCUCUCAGUUGAAUCCAGAGCUCACUAGAAUGGACUAGUCCAGCUAGCCAGCUUACUCGGGAGGAUCCCCUGCAUCUGCUUCCAGAAUGCUGAGAUUGCAACAGGGACGCCUGCCAGCUGCCAUUUUUAUAGGUUCUAAGUUGUCAGGCUUGCCCCAAGCAGCAGCUCUGCAGAGCCACCUCUGGAUCAUCAGCUAUCUGCCGUCUCAGGACCACCCAGCAGUGAUGCACAUACUGCAGAGGCAACCCCUUCGCCAUCGG